This 446-nucleotide ribosomal RNA is filed under the name uncultured bacterium. RNAcentral's name for it is "partial 16S ribosomal RNA". It matches the Rfam family "Bacterial small subunit ribosomal RNA", at positions 338 to 795 of the family's 1533-position model. The record is from RNAcentral.
CCUACGGGUGGCAGCAGUCGAGAAUCAUUCACAAUGGGGGAAACCCUGAUGGUGCGACGCCGCGUGGGGGAAUGAAGGUCUUCGGAUUGUAAACCCCUGUCAUGUGGGAGCAAAUUAAAAAGAUAGUACCACAAGAGGAAGAGACGGCUAACUCUGUGCCAGCAGCCGCGGUAAUACAGAGGUCUCAAGCGUUGUUCGGAAUCACUGGGCGUAAGGCGUGCGUAGGCUGUUUCGUAAGUCGUGUGUGAAAGGCGCGGGCUCAACCCGCGGACGGCACAUGAUACUGCGAGACUAGAGUAAUGGAGGGGGAACCGGAAUUCGCGGUGUAGCAGUGAAAUGCGUAGAUAUCGAGAGGAACACUCGUGGCGAAGGCGGGUUCCUGGACAUUAACUGACGCUGAGGCACGAAGGCCAGGGGAGCGAAAGGGAUUAGAUACCCUGGUAGUC